GAAGGGAAUGAACUAAGUGACUAUGGCAAAGAAAUAAGGACGGAAAUUAACUAAGGAAGGGAAGGAAUUGAGUGACUCUCGCAGAGAAAUAAGGAAGAAAAUUAACCAAGGAAAGGAAGGAAUUGAGGGACUGAAGGAAAUCUUCAUCAUCUUCUAAAUCAAAGGAAGGAAGGAGGAACAAUGAAAUCUCUAACAAAAAAAGGAAGGAAAGCCUCUCAUUGAGAGAUGUUCAAUUCUGACUUUGAGAGAAAACACCGUUCAAAUCUGGCAGAGAAAAUAAAGGAUUCAGUAAUAAAACACAGCGUAUCUCUCUAAUUUGUUCCAUAUAAUCAACAAAACAAACUUUUUUUCUCCUAUGUAACAACAGAUUACCACCAAGAUAUCUUCCCGGCUACAUCCUUUCUCCUGCCCAUCUACUACACUGUCGAUGUUGCCCCCUAGAUCACAUGAGAAUAGAUCAGGAUUGAUAGAAAAGUGCUCUCUCUGUGGAUCAGCAUGCAUCCACUGUGUUCUUGAGCAUGGAAGCAGCUCCUGGCACUUCAUCAUGCAUAGGUACGUUUUUGCGCCUUGAAUCUACAAAUUUUAGGCCCUCUUAUCAUACAGAGGAGAUAAGAUUAAAACAAACAAAGAGUUUAAUCUAUGACAUGCAAAUUACAGAAAUAGCUCUGGGAGUGAUGACCGUGGGCGUGCAAAUUAAUCCUUCAGAAUUACAUUAUAAUUCUCGGAGUGAUGAUCGCGGGCGUGCCACACAAGUGGCCAUGCGCAUUAGCAAAAUCAGUUUCAAACAUGCCUCAUGUAAACAUAUAGCAAUGAGCGGCCUCAUGUUUCGAACAUGCCGUAUGUAUAUGCAUGUGCUUUAGUGCUUCAUUAUAGUACACGAUUUCUUCAGGUUUUGUACAGUAGUUCCAAGGGGAGACAAUAAUCAAUUAUAGUUAAGGCGAUUUUCCACAAGGUACAUUUUUCCAAGAAAAAGUUGCAUUUUUAUUUUACUGAUUAUCUAAGAUUUAUAUAUUCUUAGCUAUAUUCCAAGUUACGUGUUUUGUUUUGUCAUCUCAGCAUUUUUUACCUUUUUUUUGUCGUCUCAGCAUUUUAUACUAAGGGCUGACACCGAGGUGAAGCCUCUGAAUUUGUUUUAACAGUUUGUAUGUAUUAUAUAAGAAGCAUUACAAUGAUAUAAUAGUAUUCUAUGUAAAAUGCAGUUGUAUUACCAUCCAUGCUUGUCGUCUAAUAAAUGAGUGAUUGUAAAGGUACAGCUGGUUUGAUACUCAUUGUUCAUUGUUCUAAGGUAUGUCUCAGUUUUAGAAUGGUAGCCUGUAGAAAAUAUAAUUGUGUAUUCAGUUUCAAAGUAUAGUUUUGCAUGAUUUUCAUAAUUUCUAUGAAUUCAAACUGUUAACUGGUAGUUUUAUACAAAUUAGUUGCUGGUUAUUCCUCCAUGAUUUAGUUUUCCAGUUCAAUGUAGUCUUGCGCUCGCGGGAUUGAAAACUAAGAAUGGAAAAGUGAAGCUGCACGUCAAACUACACUACGUGCAUAUGUGCAUACACUCUACCCCUCCUCUAUUUCUACCACUUUGAGUUGCAGAAAAGGGAAAUUACACGCAGAUGAAAUAGCGUAUGGGGUAGCACUAGAAAUAGCAUAUGGGGGUAGCACUAACCUCUGCCUCUGAGCUUGCAUCGAGUUCCAAACUUGAAAUGAAUCUACAUGAGCCCCUGUUGUAUCUCAAGGUACUCGUUGACCGCCCCCGCGCGCGAUGUUGUUGGCAGGGAACAACAGCAUGGAGCAGCUGCCACAACUUAGGCACGCCGGACGCAAACGGUGCUACACAGCAUAGCUCUCGCCCUGCCGCCGGCGACGGCGACGGCCUCGGACGGCAGACCGCAUCUCACCUUGUGUGAAUUGUCUCUGAGCUUGAACUGAGGAGAACAUAGGCAAGGGAGCAGCUGCCACAGUUUAGUCCCGGGAUUGGCCGCGCCGGAUGCGGGCCUUGCUACCGCAACACGUCCC
Molecule: long non-coding RNA, 2001 nt
Filed under: Triticum aestivum (bread wheat)
Lineage: Eukaryota; Viridiplantae; Streptophyta; Magnoliopsida; Poales; Poaceae
Description: long non-coding RNA (TAES_LNC026299)
Source: RNAcentral